AUCAUUGACAAGGUCGAUCGCCGUCUUGCUGGUUGGAGGGGCCUUUUGCUCUCCUUGGCCGGGAGGGCCAUCCUGGUCCGCUCCGUUCUACGCGCCCUGCCAAUCUAUGCCAUGAGUGUCCUUCUUCUACCUGCUGGAACCAUUCAGGAAAUCGAGAAACGCUGUAGGGCCUUCUUUUGGUCUGGUCAGGAAUCUACCUCGGGCGGCAACUGCAAGGUCGCUUGG
Molecule: ribosomal RNA, 225 nt
Filed under: Triticum aestivum (bread wheat)
Lineage: Eukaryota; Viridiplantae; Streptophyta; Magnoliopsida; Poales; Poaceae
Description: partial small subunit ribosomal RNA
Source: RNAcentral